CUCUCUUCCUGCCCCGUUGCUGCUGGUGAGCCACGAUGCAGUCUUGCUGUGUUGCCCAGGCUGGAGCGCAGUGUUGCAAUCUUGGCUCACUGCAACCUCUGCCUCCUGGCUUCAAAUGAUUCUCUUGCCUCAGCCUCCUGAGCAGCUGGGAUUACAGGUAUGUGUCACCACACCUCACUAAUUUUUAUAUGUUUGUAGAGAUGGAAUUUCAUCAUGUUGGCCAGGCUGGUCUUGAACUCCUGACCUCAAAGUAAUCCACCUGCUUUAGCCACCAAAAGUGCUGGGA
Molecule: long non-coding RNA, 286 nt
Filed under: Callithrix jacchus (white-tufted-ear marmoset)
Lineage: Eukaryota; Metazoa; Chordata; Mammalia; Primates; Cebidae
Description: lncRNA (ENSCJAG00000066567.2)
Source: RNAcentral